AAAAAAAAAAAAAAAAAGUUGCAGCUCUUUUAAACAUUGACAUUCUUAUCAUUUUGUGUGCUUGGUGCCAGCCACAGGCUAACGGUGUCUAAGUGGAUUUCUCUUUGAGCAUCUUUCCCCACCAACUGAGAAGCAAGCUCCUCCUUGAGUUUCUGGAGGAAGGCACUGCUUCAGAGAGAAAGCUGAGAACUCAAGAAGCAGCAUCUGACUGAGGUUGCAGGGUGCUUUCUGCAGUGGGAAUUCACAGUCAGGUUGACUGGAUCACCUCCAGGACACCAGAAGGUAGGAAGCACAAAAUGGUAAGUCAGCGUGUACGUAAGAUGGGACAUACAUGCAGCGAUGUCUAUGAGAUACAGCACAUAUGUGGUGUUUCUAUGUCCUAAAUAUUUCCCAGGAUUGACAUAUUGAAUGCUGGUA
Fukomys damarensis (Damara mole-rat) is the source of this 417-nucleotide long non-coding RNA. RefSeq lists it as uncharacterized. The record is from RefSeq and is a predicted model, not a curated record. The transcript has 3 exons. NCBI's taxonomy places the organism in Eukaryota, Metazoa, Chordata, Mammalia, Rodentia, Bathyergidae.